GGGAAUUUUUCCCAAUGGGGAAAAGCCUGAUGCAAGGGACGCCGCUUGAGGGAUGAAGGCCUUCGGGUUGUAAACCUUUUUCAGCAGGGAAGAAGGGCAAGUGACGGUACCUGCAGAAGAAGCGCCGGGCUAAUUACGUGCCAGCAGCCGCGGUAAUACGUAGGGCGCCAGCGUUGUCCGGAAUUAUUGGGCGUAAAGAGCUCGUAGGCGGUUUGUCGCGUCUGGUGUGAAAACUCGAGGCUCAACCUCGAGCUUGCAUCGGGUACGGGCAGACUAGAGUGCGGUAGGGGAGACUGGAAUUCCUGGUGUAGCGGUGGAAUGCGCAGAUAUCAGGAGGAACACCGAUGGCGAAGGCAGGUCUCUGGGCCGCAACUGACGCUGAGGAGCGAAAGCAUGGGGAGCGAACAGGAUUAGAUACCCUGGUAGUCCAUGCCGUAAACGUUGGGCACUAGGUGUGGGGCUCAUUCCACGAGUUCCGUGCCGCAGCAAACGCAUUAAGUGCCCCGCCUGGGGAGUACGGCCGCAAGGCUAAAACUCAAAGGAAUUGACGGGGGCCCGCACAAGCGGCGGAGCAUGCGGAUUAAUUCGAUGCAACGCGAAGAACCUUACCAAGGCUUGACAUGCACGAGAAGCCACCAGAGAUGGUGGUCUCUUUGGACACUCGUGCACAGGUGGUGCAUGGUUGUCGUCAGCUCGUGUCGUGAGAUGUUGGGUUAAGUCCCGCAACGAGCGCAACCCUCGUCCCAUGUUGCCAGCGGGUUAUGCCGGGGACUCAUGGGAGACUGCCGGGGUCAACUCGGAGGAAGGUGGGGAUGACGUCAAAUCAUCAUGCCCCUUAUGUCUUGGGCUUCACGCAUGCUACAAUGGCCGGUACAAAGGGCUGCGAUACCGUAAGGUGGAGCGAAUCCCAAAAAGCCGGUCUCAGUUCGGAUUGGGGUCUGCAACUCGACCCCAUGAAGUCGGAGUCGCUAGUAAUCGCAGAUCAGCAACGCUGCGGUGAAUACGUUCCCGGGCCUUGUACACACCGCCCGUCAAGUCACGAAAGUCGGUAACACCCGAAGCCCAUGGCCCAACCGUUCGCGGGGGGAGUGUCGA
RNAcentral lists this ribosomal RNA (1095 nucleotides) under Cellulosimicrobium sp. 88-11. RNAcentral's name for it is "bacterial SSU rRNA". It matches the Rfam family "Bacterial small subunit ribosomal RNA", at positions 357 to 1459 of the family's 1533-position model. The record is from RNAcentral. Lineage: Bacteria; Bacillati; Actinomycetota; Actinomycetes; Micrococcales; Promicromonosporaceae.